AUUGAACGCUGGCGGCAGGCCUAACACAUGCAAGUCGAGCGGAUGAAGGGAGCUUGCUCCUGGAUUCAGCGGCGGACGGGUGAGUAAUGGCUAGGAAUCUGCCUGGUUGUGGUGGAUAACGUCCGGAAACGGGCGCUAAUACCGCAUACGUCCUGAGGGAGAAAGUGGGGGAUCUUCGGAUCUCAUGCCAUCAGACGAGUCUAGGUUGGAUUAGCUAGUUGGUGGGGUAAAGGCCUACCAAGGCGACGAUCCGUAACUGGUCUGAGAGGAUGAUCAGUCACACUGGAACUGAGACACGGUCCAGACUCCUACGGGAGGCAGCAGUGGGGAAUAUUGGACAAUGGGCGAAAGCCUGAUCCAGCCAUACCGCGUGUGUGAAGAAGGUCUUCGGAUUGUAAAGCACUUUAAGUUGGGAGGAAGGGCAGUAAGUUAAUACCUUGCUGUUUUGACGUUACCAACAGAAUAAGCACCGGCUAACUUCGUG
RNAcentral lists this ribosomal RNA (484 nucleotides) under uncultured bacterium. Its description in RNAcentral is "partial 16S ribosomal RNA". It matches the Rfam family "Bacterial small subunit ribosomal RNA", at positions 30 to 507 of the family's 1533-position model. The record is from RNAcentral.